UAGGAGUUACGGAACAGUUAAGGUGGAAAAGGUACCUGAGCCAAGUAUCCGUUAUGGAAAUCCUCUACGGAGGUAACACAGAGUGGAGCGGACAGUGAUCAGCUGUGAGGCGGCCGGGUUCUGUUGGUGUGUGACGUCACAGAGGCGCGAUUUCCUAAUACAGCAGUUGUUCCUUAGAAGAGUGCAGGCUGACACAGCGAGCUUCGCAGCAUAUGCGAUUUUUGUCCGUUUGAUGACUCCGUAGGAAUCCGGUGCGCAUGCGCAGUUGCAAACCAUAGACACAGAGGGCAGUCAUCGAGGGACGAGUAUGUCACUUGGUGAGGGGUACUUUAGGGUGGUCACCCCAGGGCCCUGAAGAAAACGUGUGCCGCACCCUUAUCAGCCAGAGCAGAGCUAAGGAACAAAAGAAGUGACCCUACAAAACUGGCGUCAGAAGUGGAAUGAAACAGGGAACUCUCGGAAGGUGAGUUGAACAAAGAGUCUUUUUAUUCUGACCUUUUUUCUCUUACCACGAGACCCCUUAAGUUUCAUUUUACAUAGGAAUAGUUGGGGAAUAUAUAUAUGUGAAUCUUUGGUAGAUUCUAAAAGAGGAAUAAUAGAUUUUUUUGGUAAAAAUCAGGUUAAAUAUAUAUAUGAAUCUUUGGUAGAUUCUAAUCAAAUCUUUGAUUAAAAAAUAAAAAGGGAAUAAAAGAUUUCUUUGGUAGAAAUCAGGUUAUAUAAAGUCUGGCUGAAGGGUUAAAACACACGUUUUCUUACUGCUUGCUUUUGAAAUAUUGCUGUAUGGCUAACAUUGUUUUAAAGUUAUAAGAUAAAUACUGCAUUGUUUAUAUGAAUUUUCUUGCUUCUUGUUUUUAAAUAUGCUGUAUGGCAAAAUACUGUUUAUUUGUCUAAAGUGUUAAGGAAGUAAAAUACUGCUUAUUGUUUAAAGUAUUAAGAAAGUAAACUGUUGUUAAUAUGUAUUGCUGUUUUUAAAUGUUAGUAAAAGGCUACAUUUUUUCUGGUGAAGGGUGACCUUUGACCUAGAGAUAAUUAAUGCCAGAAACUACUGAAAGGAUCAGCAUAGUGAUAUUUUUUUUUUCUUUCUCUUGUUGUAAACUUAAGCAUUAAGCACAAUAACUGGUAACGGAGUACAACCAUUCUAGUUAAUGUGUUUUAUGCAAAAAGAUUAAAUAAUUAAUUGCUCUUAAAGGUAAAGGUAUUGUAUUUUUUAUUUUUAUUAUUUUUUAUUAUUUAUUUAUUUUUUUUGUAUUGUAUUAUAUUUUGUUGUAAAUGUUUUAAAAGAUAAGUUAGGAGUUGAGAAUGGGCAAAUCCCAGUCUAAACAAUUUCCAUCACCUAUGCAAGGAGAAAAAUGUAAAGAUUAUGUGGGAAAAUAUAGCAGAUUGGACAGAAGCUAUGAGAAGCUCUGAUCCAUUCCCCAGAGAGGGGGAUAAUGAUAAAUUUCAUAUGAAAAUGGUAAAAGGGUUGUGUCUAGGUGAUGAAGAGGCAUUUCCAUGGUAUAAUGGUGAUCCAAGAUGGUUAUAUGGAUUAUAUGAAAAAGGGUGGGGAAAAUUGGCUGACUGUUGCUCCAUACUGGCGAUAUAUUGAUAUAGAUGGGAAUAAAAAGAAGGGUAAAAUUGAGAAGCAAAAACAGAAAGCAUAUUCACCCCCCCUGCCCCAUAUAAUGCCCCUCACCUACCUUUGCCAUCAUAUAACAGACUAUAUCCUAGCAUCCCAUCCCCUAGUGACAUAGAUCUAGAGACUAUUGCUAUUGCCUCUGCUCAGGUACCCCAGGAAUGGACCUUGCCAGGACCUUCUGUAACUCCCUGAUACCAGGUCACUAAACCCCCAAUUAUGCCCAAACCCCCGAUUAAGGUUGAACCAGUAACACCUUCCUACCCCCCUACAAUAACCCCACAAUAUAAAAGAGGGAAUGAAGAAGUAGAGGAGGAGGAGGCAGCUGUACCAGAAGCUAGUAUGCCAUUUCUUACUGUGGGAGACCAAUUAAUUAUUAAACCUUUGUCCCCUGGUGAAUUAAGGGAAAUUACCAAGGGAGCCCCAAACCCGUCAACAUCCAUCAGCUUGUAUUAUGUAUUUAAAAAGAAUGUUACAAGGACAAAACAUGACACAGACAGAUAUAAGAAUUAUUAUUGAUGCACUUCUAGACUAUGACCCUGAAUCAGGUUGGGAGUGGGGUAAUGUAAAGAGUAUUAGUAAAUUGAGUCGAGAUCCAACAAUUAACUAUGCCCUAAACACACGUGAAGGACUUGAUGAAAUGUGGACAGAAUUAAGUAUAGAAAUGCAUAGAAUAUGGAAGGAUAAACAAAGUAUGUCAAUUGCACUAGCGUGCAAACAGAAUACAAAGGAAACAGUAGUAGAAUUUGUUAAGCGUUUUUAUAAAUGCUGGAAGGAAGAGGCUGGAAUGGAAUCAGGAGAUGCAAUGGGCUCUCUGAAGGUCCAGACUUGCAUUAGUAAUAUGCAACCUCAGCUUUCUUUGUUGGUGAAACAACUUGUCUCUGAUUGGCCAGAGUUGACUCCAGCAGAAUUCUUGAAAAGAAUUCAUGAAAAAGAAGGGGCAGGUUGUUUUGACAUCAGGAAAUUAGAGGGAAAAAACACUGCUUUUUAUCAAAAGCAGAGUUUACAACAUUGUGAUCCAUUCCAGGCCAGGGAAAGGAAUAAUACAGGGAGUAAUAGAAUGUAUGUGAGAGGUAGAGGGAGAGCUAGAGGAAGAGCUAGAGGGAAUUAUACUUCAAACAGAACACAUUGUUUUAACUGUGGGGAACAGGGACAUUGGAAAAAUGAAUGCCCAAAACCCCCUAAUAAUUCUGGCCCCCCUUACAAUCCCCGACAGUAUAACAGACAGCCUUACAUAGCCCCUGCACCCAUGGAGGCACCCAAACACAACAUACAAUGGCCAUAGGGGUGCCUAGAAGGUAGCACUCCAAUUUUUCCAGUGGUGUCAACAAGUUAUCAUGAGCAACCGUACUUAGUCCUAGAAGUAGAGGGAGAACCCCUACCAUUUCUAGUAGACACAGGAGCUACAUGCUCUGCCUUAUGCUCAGAUAUGUAUGAUGGCAUUACUGAAAAAUCUGAACCUUCUCUAGGGAUUAAUGGAGUGCUGACUCAGACUCGCAUCACACCGCCACUUGAAGUUAGGGUACCCUGUACUGGCCAGCAACUUUUGCACCCAUUUCGUAUUAUAACUGGGUGUCCCCUUAACCUUUUGGGUCGUGAUCUUAUGGGUCCCCUUGGUUUGAAAGUAGCUGUCACUAGACAGGGUGGGUUAGACGUGAGUCUAGGGUCCACUAACCUGUGUUUUUUUAAUGACAUAUUGACAGAUGUCCCAUCCUCUGUAUGGGCAUCUUCAAAACUUGACGUUGGUUUAGUUCAGUGUACCCCAUAUAAAGCCAGAUUAAAACCUAAUACUACUCCAGUGUUUAUUAAACAAUAUCCAUUGUCUAGAGAAAAGAAAGAAGGGAUAAGACCCAUGAUAGAGGAAUUCCUUAAACAAGGAAUCCUCCGUCCAGUAGUUUCUCCCUAUAAUACCCCCAUAAAUCCGAUCCCAAAGAAAGACAAUGAAUAUAUGUUAGUACAAGACCUAAGGGCAAUUAAUGAAAUAGUAAUCCCAAUUGCCCCAAUUGUCCCAGAUGUUACAACCUUACUCACAGCCAUUCCACAUGAUGCCUGUAUAUUUACAGUCAUUGAUUUAGCUAACGCAUUUUUUUCAGUCCGAUUGGACCCUGAGACACAGCUACUUAUGGCUUUUUAUUAUGAUGGGCGUCAGCUUACCUGGACACGCCCCCUCAAGGCUAUGUGGCCUCACCUGCGGUCUACUCACUGGUGCUCCAACGUACUUUGCGGUCAUGGACUCCCAGCCAAGGUUCCGUCCUCCUUCAGUACGUCAAUGACCUACUGUUGUGGAGUCCUAACCAGGAGGCUAAUACAGUAGAUACAAUAAGUCUGUUAAAACACCUUGCUGCUGAAGGUCAUAAAAUAGCAAAACAUAAGCUACAAGUAGGAGUGACAAAAGUGGAUUACCUUGGUUUUGUGCUUUCCCAAGGCCACCGGUCCAUUAGUCCCAAACGAAUCCAAGCGAUUCAACAGAUCCCAAAGCCAGUUACUAGAAAGGACAUGCUCACCUUUCUAGGUAUGAUUAAUUAUUGCAGACAAUGGAUUCCUGAGUGCUCCCAUCAUGAUUCCAUUCUAAGGCAAGCCACAAAAGGGGAUAGCCCUGAACAUAUACAAUGGACCACAGACAUGACUAAAUCCUACAUAGCUCUGAAGACUAGCAUUAUUAGUGCUCCUGCUUUAGGACUACCUGAUUAUUGUAAACCAUUUCACUUGUAUGCGAGGGACAAUUGUAAAACCAUGGCUGCUGUCUGUGCCCAAGAGCAUGGUGGAGGCAAUAUGCGUCCCGUAGCUUUCUUUUCCAAAGUAGUUCCAAUACCGGUACAAGGGAUGCCGGCCUGUCUCCGAGCAUUGGCGGCUUGCGCCAUGGCUGUAGAGAUGGUUGAAACAAUCACAUUAGGCCAUCCAAUAGUACUACACACUAGUCACCAAGUUUUACAUCUUGUAAAAAAUGUCACUACCCAACACAUGACUUCUCAAAGACUUUCUGGUUAUGAAUGUAUAUUACUGAAUAAUACAAAUCUGACUAUUAAAUAUAGUAGUGUAUCCUCAGGGCCAACUCAAGUAAGUAAGUGCCUUACUUACAGGAUCACCAGACUUUCCAACAGAUCAUGAUUGUAUAGAGGUAAUACACCACAUUACCACACCAAGACCUGACUUGAUGGAUAAACCUUUUGACCAUGCUGAUAAUGUGUUUGUUGAUGGUUCUUGUUCCCGACCUAGUGAUGGUAUUUAUAAGACAGGCUAUGUCGUUGUGCAACUACCAGACAUUGUUCUAGAUGCAGGCCCCAUUCCUUAUCCUUCUGCACAAGCUGCAGAAUUAAUAGCACUUACAAAAGCAUGUAAAUUGUUUGAAAAUAAAUCUGUUAACAUUUACACUGACUCUCGCUAUGCUUUUGGGGUUGUGCACGAUUUUGGUAUGAUAUGGAAACAACGUGGUUUUGUUUCAGCAGAUGGCAAGACCAUUUCUCAUACAGACCUGAUUAAUGAACUUUUAGAGGCCAUACAACUCCCAAAGGACAUAGCGAUCAUACAUUGCCGUGCACAUACAUACAAGUCUGACCCUAUUUCCUUGGGUAAUGCACUUACAGAUAAAAUUGCUAAAGAGGCUGCUUAUGUUUCUCAUACACCCAAAUCCACCAUCCGUAUGUAUGCUGUUUUAGCCCCACCUUCAUGUCCUACAGACCAUAUGCUUCUUGAACUCCAGGGACAUGCCACUCCUAGUGACAUAUCUUUCUGGACUACUAAUGGGUUAGCUUUAGAUGAGAAUGGUUUGUUUUUCUAAAGAGGGGAAGGUGGGCAUACCGGAAAGCAGUGCACCACUCUUUAUAGCACAAGCCCAUGGUGUUGGACACCUAGGUAUAAAACCAACAACUAACUUGUUGAAGCAAUCUUUCUACAUUAGAGGUAUAGGUGAUCAUUGCAAGGCAUAUAUUAAUAGAUGUGUAUAUUGCUUACAGACCAAUGCAACCAUCCCCAAUAAAGCCCAGCAUGACCACUUACCCCCACCUACAGCCCCAUUCACACAUCUACAAAUUGAUUUUACACAUAUUCCAAAAACACUGGCACUAAACAAUUAUAUCUGCUUUUAAUAGUUGACCAAUUUUCUAAGUGGCCAGAAGCUUUUGUUACCCAGAGGGAAGAUGCAAAAACAGUCGCUAAAAUUUUAGCCACUGAAAUAAUUCCCAGAUUUGGUUGUCCGCUUCAGAAUAAUUCUGAUAACGGUCCAGCGUUCAUUAGUAAAAUCACACAUGAGUUAGUAGAAUGGUUACAGAUUAAUUGGAACUUUCACAUUCCCUACCAUCCUCAAAGCUCAGGGAUUGUAGAAAGAAUGAAUCGCAAUAUCAAGGAAAAACUUUUAAAGGCAACAGCAGGUACAUGGGUUAAAUGGCAAAACUAUUUACCUGCGAUUUUAGCAGAAAUCAGAAUGACCCCCAAAUAGGACAACCAGGUUGUCUCCAUUUGAGGUCCUAAUGGGUAGACCAUUCCCAACUCCAUGGGUAAAAGGCCCACUUAUCAUUAAAAAUGGUGAUUUAGAUUGUAUUAAGGAACAAUAUGUAAAACAAUUGAUUGAUAAAUUGAAUGGCAUCUAUGGUGAUGUGUCUUCCCGUUUACCUCUUCCCUCACAGGAACCAACCCAUCCUUUCAAGCCUGGAGAUCUGGUCUGCAUUCGCCAGCUGAAUAAAGCAAAGAAAGGAGGUUUCCCGUUCAGCAAGCCAGUCACUGUGAUCGCUGUAACCAGGACUGCCGUACUGACUGACGACAAGGACAUCUGGAUACACGCUUCACGAGUGAAACUCUGUCCAAAGAGAGGAGAAGCGGGUGACAAGCUAUCGGUCACCCCUCACAAAGGAGAAGUGGGUGAUAAGGUAUCGAUCACUCCUCACAAAGACCAGGAUGACGAUCUCAAUCAUGGAUCCAAGACAUUUCUGCAAGAUCUUCCUUUUCCAAAUGGGGAUAUUGAUAUUUGUGUAUAUCCCAAUAGUAUUAAUAACAGCAUGUUAUUACUCACCUGAAGAUGCUGAACCCUUUACACCUAUUUGUUUACUAUUAUUAACAUUGUUUAACUGUUACAUGUCUUGUACUUUAGGAAAGAAAAUAUCAGGUAUGAUACAAGAUGCAGAAAAAGUUCAACUGCAAAAUUUAAUUAGAGGUAGACCCAGAUAGUUUAUAUUGUAGGAACAUUACAGAUUAUGUGAUCACGAUGUGAUCAAAGAGGGGAAUGAUGGGUAUAUAUGUGUGUAUGUAUGUAUAUGUGUAUAUAUAUAUAUGUAUAUAUAUAUGUGUGUAUAUAUAUUAUAUAUAUUAUGUUAUAUGGGUAAUUUGAAUCUCACAUAUUAAGCAUAUUGAGGGUAACUUUAAAUCUUGUAUCAAAUGUUUAUAAAGCAGCAUUCCACAAGUUUCUUUUUGUAUAAGUUGUAACAUAUGGUUCUAAUAUAAGUUCCUCUCUACAAAUGGAUAUGAGCAUAUUCUGUUAUGUGCUAUAACAACAUUCUUAUUUCCUGUGGGCCCCUUAUGCAGAUGUGAAGUUAACUACGUUUUUUAUAUAUUUCCUGUGACCUCAUGUAUGAUGUAUACAUCACUAUAAAACCUUUGUGUGUUCUUCAAUAA
Bombina bombina (fire-bellied toad) is the source of this 7216-nucleotide long non-coding RNA. RefSeq lists it as uncharacterized. NCBI's taxonomy places the organism in Eukaryota, Metazoa, Chordata, Amphibia, Anura, Bombinatoridae. The record is from RefSeq and is a predicted model, not a curated record. The transcript is spliced from 3 exons.